GCCUGGUCUACACAGAGUUCCAGGCUAGCCAGGGGUACACAGUGAGACUUUGUCUCACAAAAUAAAAAAAACUACAAAAACAAAGCCAGCUGUAAUGGCACACACCUUUAAUCCUAGUACUCAGGAGGCAGAGGCAGUCUGAUUUGAGUGAAUUUUAGGCCAGCCUGGUUUGAAUAGUGAGUUCUAGGAUAGCCAGAGCUGCAUAGUGAAAGACUGUCUCAAAAAACCAUUUUGUUUUUUUUGUUUUGUUUUGUUUGUUUUUUUUUUUAAUUUUUUUUUUAAGAUUUAUUUAUUAUAUGUAAGUACACUGUAGCUGUCUUCGGACACACCAGAAGAGGGCCAUCAGAUCUCAUUAUAGAUGGUUGUGAGCCAUCAUGUGGUUGCUGGGAUUUGAACUCACGACCUUCAGAAGAGCAGUCGGCGCUAUUAACCGCUGAGCCAUCUCUCCAGCCCUUGUUUUUUUUUACAACAAAAAUCUAGAGGAAGUGGAUGGACUCCAGCAGGAGGCAGAGCUUCAAGUGAGGAGAAUGUGGGAGUGGAAGAGGGACGAAGACACGUACAGAUCAUAUGUGCACUGGGAACAGAGGCGCCGCGGCGUCUAGAGCAGCCUAUGGGUCUGUCAGAAGGGACACUCCAAAAAGGACAGAAGAAACUGCUGAGUUGGGGGUCUGCCUAUGGUGGCCUGCCGAUGUCUGUUUUAGAACUAAGCAGCUGGGUGGGAGUCCCACAGAGUCUGAGAGAAGGUUCCUCUCAUCCUCACCCGGAAACGAAAUUUAACUUCAGCUUUCCACUCCGGGUCCAGGCUCCUCCCUCCAGGCUAUUUGCACAGUCGGUUCAGAAAAGACAAGUCCGGUGCGCCCCCGCGCGGUCACGAAAGGAAACACACGUCCUGCUGUGGCAGGCGCCUGAGUGGGAAAGGUGAGGUCUGUGUGGCGCCCCCUGUAGGCUGCGCUAGACAUCGCAGGCGAGUUAAUCUGUGGAUGCCGCGGGUGACUCGCUCACUCACCUGGUGCCUUGUUAGACAAUCAGCUGAAUGAUGGUACACAACAGUGGGAGCAAGGAGGACAAAAGAAAGGCAGGGAAUAACAUCGUCUCUUGUAAACUACGAAAAGAGGUCAGUAUCCCCUCUCCCCCUUUAUUUCUGAGAUUUUGAUUGUUUGGUUUGGUUUUUUUGAGACAGGGUUUCUCUGUGUAGCCUUGGCUGUCCUGGAACUCUCUCUGUAGACCAGGCCUUCAACUCACAGAGAUCUGCCUGCCUCUGCCUCUCAAGCACUGAGGCUAAAGCCGUGCACCACCCAGCUGUUUUCCCAUUUAAUAUACACAUCUAACAUAGAAGCAAAACCUGAGCCAGGAAUGGUGGCACACGCCUUUAAUCUCAGCACUGGGGAGGCAGAGGCAGGCAGAUUUCUGAGUUCGAGGCCAACCUGGUCUACAAAGUGAGUUCCAAGGACAAAAAAGAAAGAAAGAAAAAAGGAAGCAAAACCUGACCUCCAGGGAGAUUAAGUGAUCUGUCAAGAGAGUUGUCUGGUUGGUUGCUUUGUUUGUUUGUUUUUGUUUUUGUUUUUUUUUU
RNAcentral lists this long non-coding RNA (1570 nucleotides) under Mus spicilegus (steppe mouse). RNAcentral describes it as "lncRNA (ENSMSIG00000002121.1)". The record is from RNAcentral. Lineage: Eukaryota; Metazoa; Chordata; Mammalia; Rodentia; Muridae.